This 1345-nucleotide long non-coding RNA is filed under the name Bos indicus x Bos taurus (hybrid cattle). RNAcentral describes it as "lncRNA (ENSBIXG00000016621.1)". Lineage: Eukaryota; Metazoa; Chordata; Mammalia; Artiodactyla; Bovidae. The record is from RNAcentral.
CUUUCCCCUGAGUGCCACACACAGACCUCCAAGUGCCCCAGGGACCUACCUAACCCAGGAUCACUGACACCCAACACACUCCCCUCCCACCACGUCCCCUCCAUCAGGGAAGACACCAGAAGCCUGGAGUCAUCUCUGACAGUCUCUCUCCAUCCUCAACCUCUGACCUUCUACGGGUUCUCAUGAGUCCAGAAGUUUGACUUGCUAAACUGCUCUGGACCCUGCCCUCUCGUCUCCUGGCCAUCACCACUCCCCUAGUCCAGGCUUCUUUGUCUACACUCAGUUGCAACAAUGGCCUCCUCAUUUCUCUCACUGGUCCCAGUCUUGCUACCUCCCAUCCAUCCUCUGUUGAGCAGCUAGCCUGAUCUUUCAGAAGUAUGAAUCUAACUAAGCAUGUCUCGUCCAUGCUUAGAAGGAGCCCUGGAUCUCUAACCUGUGUGAUACACUCAGGCCUCCCUCUCCAGCUUUGCCUUGGAAGCAAAACCCUAUUCGAUGGUCUGUGAUCCAUGAGCCUUUGCUGGCUUCUUCAUGCAUGCCUCUGAGUCUGUUUCAGAGGGGCCCCUUGGAAAGGGUUCCUCCUCAUUCCCACCAGCAUCAUCACUGUUGUUGUAGUCUGAGUUCCUCCAAAUGCAUGACUCAAGGUCCCAGCGUAAGUAGUUUAUAGGGAAGUGAUUCUGAGAAGCGGGAGUAAAGGGGUGUGAAGAAUGCGACAGGGAAGGGAGAAAAGUCCACCCUCGUGAGUUCUAUCAUCUGUGCAGUGUGCGAUGGGGCUGCGCUCACCAGGACCCUGCGGAGCCUACGGAACACCUCCCAGAAAUCGUCUACCUGCAGGAAGUUGCUCCAGACACUCACUCCAUUGGCUAUAUUCAGUGGAGUCUAAAGUGCCUCUUGAUGUGGUGACUGAGAAAGACGCCUCACGUCUGUGGUAUUCCUGCUGAAAAGGCAGAACCUGACAGAGGAAACAUCAGACUAACCAAGCUGAGAACCAGUCUAUAAGAUUAUUGGUCCAGGCUCAUCCAAAGUGUCAGCGUCAUAAAAUGAAAAAGACAGUGAAAGACUAACCGCUUCAGAUUAGUGGAGAUGAGACAUGGCUACCAAACAGAAUGCAUGAUUCUGGAUUUCAUCCUAGGCUAGAGAGGAAAUUGCUGUGCAGGAAUCAAUGUUGGAGAGGAUGUGGAGAAAAGGGAACCCUCUUGCACUGUUGGUAGGAAUGCAAAUUGAUCCAGCCAUUAUGGAAAACAGUAUGGAGAUUCCUUAAAAAAAAAAAAAAAGCAACUAGGAAUCAAACUACCAUAUGACCCAACAAUCCCACUACUGGGCAUAUACCCUGAGGAAACCAUAAUUG